RNAcentral lists this ribosomal RNA (253 nucleotides) under uncultured bacterium. RNAcentral's name for it is "partial 16S ribosomal RNA". It matches the Rfam family "Bacterial small subunit ribosomal RNA", at positions 524 to 776 of the family's 1533-position model. The record is from RNAcentral.
UACGUAGGGACCGAGCGUUGUCCGGAUUCAUUGGGCGUAAAGAGCUCGUAGGCGGCUGUUCAAGUCGAACGUGAAAACUCGGAGCUCAACUCCGAGCCUGCGUUCGAUACUGGACGGCUAGAGUCUGGUAGGGGGAUCUGGAAUUCCUGGUGUAGCGGUGAAAUUCUUAGAUAUUAGGAGGAACACCGGAGGCGAAGGCGGUCAUCUGGGCUACAACUGACGCUGAUGCACGAAAGCGUGGGGAGCAAACAGG